UGACUCAUAGCUCAGUCAGAGCACCUGCCUUAUACGCAGUAGGUUCCCGGCCAUCGUGGUACGAUUCGAUUCUGGGUGAGUCAA
RNAcentral lists this transfer RNA (84 nucleotides) under Roseihalotalea indica. RNAcentral's name for it is "tRNA-Ile". It matches the Rfam family "tRNA". From Rfam's summary of the family: Transfer RNA (tRNA) molecules are approximately 80 nucleotides in length. Their secondary structure includes four short double-helical elements and three loops (D, anti-codon, and T loops). Lineage: Bacteria; Pseudomonadati; Bacteroidota; Cytophagia; Cytophagales; Catalimonadaceae. The record is from RNAcentral.